This 449-nucleotide ribosomal RNA is filed under the name Campylobacter gracilis. RNAcentral's name for it is "bacterial SSU rRNA". It matches the Rfam family "Bacterial small subunit ribosomal RNA", at positions 29 to 494 of the family's 1533-position model. The record is from RNAcentral. Lineage: Bacteria; Pseudomonadati; Campylobacterota; Epsilonproteobacteria; Campylobacterales; Campylobacteraceae.
AGUGAACGCGGGCGGCGUGCUAAUACAUGCAAGUCGAACGGAAUUUAAAAGAGCUUGCUCUUUUAAAUUUAGUGGCGCACGGGUGAGUAAUAUAUAGCUAAUCUGCCCCUUGCUGGAGGACAACAGUUAGAAAUGACUGCUAAUACUCCAUACUCCUUUUUACCAUAAGAUAAAUCGGGAAAGAAUUUCGGCAAGGGAUGAGACUAUAUCGUAUCAGCUAGUCGGUGGGGUAACGGCCUACCGAGGCUAUGACGCGUAACUGGUCUGAGAGGAUGAUCAGUCACAUUGGAACUGAGACACGGUCCAAACUCCUACGGGAGGCAGCAGUAGGGAAUAUUGCGCAAUGGGGGAAACCCUGACGCAGCAACGCCGCGUGGAGGAUGACACUUUUCGGAGCGUAAACUCCUUUUGUUAGGGAAGAAUAAUGACGGACCUAACGAAUAAGCACC